This 56-nucleotide transfer RNA is filed under the name Cucujoidea sp. 37 KM-2017. Its description in RNAcentral is "tRNA-Ser". Lineage: Eukaryota; Metazoa; Arthropoda; Insecta; Coleoptera. The record is from RNAcentral.
GAAAUACUUUAAGGAAGCUUCUAACUUCCCGUCUAGCAUAAUAUGUUAGUAUUUCU